RNAcentral lists this transfer RNA (75 nucleotides) under Rickettsia akari str. Hartford. RNAcentral describes it as "tRNA-Ala (TGC) (tRNA-Ala-TGC-1-1)". It matches the Rfam family "tRNA". From Rfam's summary of the family: Transfer RNA (tRNA) molecules are approximately 80 nucleotides in length. Their secondary structure includes four short double-helical elements and three loops (D, anti-codon, and T loops). Lineage: Bacteria; Pseudomonadati; Pseudomonadota; Alphaproteobacteria; Rickettsiales; Rickettsiaceae. The record is from RNAcentral.
GGGGAUGUAGCUCAGGGGUAGAGCAUCUGCUUUGCACGCAGAGGGUCAAGGGUUCGAUUCCCUUUAUCUCCACCA